ACCUAACCCGACGGGAAGGGGGGUCCGCCUUACCGACGGUAGGAUUCAUGACUGGGGUG
This 59-nucleotide ribosomal RNA is filed under the name uncultured bacterium. Its description in RNAcentral is "partial 16S ribosomal RNA". The record is from RNAcentral.